CGCCCGCGUCGGCGAGGCCGGACGAGGCCAGGUCGAUGAUCGCGGCCGGCAAUUCGCGCAGCGGCACCUGUUCGAUCUCGGUGCGGGCGAC
RNAcentral lists this transfer RNA (91 nucleotides) under Gordonia paraffinivorans. RNAcentral describes it as "tRNA-Ile(gat)". The record is from RNAcentral. Lineage: Bacteria; Bacillati; Actinomycetota; Actinomycetes; Mycobacteriales; Gordoniaceae.